GACGGAGGGUGCAAGCGUUGCUCGGAAUCACUGGGCGUAAAGGGUGCGUAGGCGGUCUCGCAAGUCUGGCGUGAAAGCCCAAGGCUCAGCCUUGGAAGUGCGCUCGAAACUGCAGAACUCGAGUCCUGGAGAGGAAGGCGGAAUUCUCGGUGUAGAGGUGAAAUUCGUAGAUAUCGAGAGGAACACCGGUGGCGAAGGCGGCCUUCUGGACAGUGACUGACGCUGAGACGCGAAAGCGUGGGGAGCAAACAGG
Molecule: ribosomal RNA, 253 nt
Filed under: uncultured bacterium
Lineage: Bacteria
Description: partial 16S ribosomal RNA
Rfam family: Bacterial small subunit ribosomal RNA
Source: RNAcentral